GGGGGGCGUGCUAUAAUGCAGUCGAGCGGACAGAUGGGAGCUUGCUCCCUGAUGUUAGCGGCGGACGGGUGAGUAACACGUGGGUAACCUGCCUGUAAGACUGGGAUAACUCCGGGAAACCGGGGCUAAUACCGGAUGGUUGUUUGAACCGCAUGGUUCAGACAUAAAAGGUGGCUUCGGCUACCACUUACAGAUGGACCCGCGGCGCAUUAGCUAGUUGGUGAGGUAACGGCUCACCAAGGCGACGAUGCGUAGCCGACCUGAGAGGGUGAUCGGCCACACUGGGACUGAGACACGGCCCAGACUCCUACGGGAGGCAGCAGUAGGGAAUCUUCCGCAAUGGACGAAAGUCUGACGGAGCAACGCCGCGUGAGUGAUGAAGGUUUUCGGAUCGUAAAGCUCUGUUGUUAGGGAAGAACAAGUGCCGUUCAAAUAGGGCGGCACCUUGACGGUACCUAACCAGAAAGCCACGGCUAACUACGUGCCAGCAGCCGCGGUAAUACGUAGGUGGCAAGCGUUGUCCGGAAUUAUUGGGCGUAAAGGGCUCGCAGGCGGUUUCUUAAGUCUGAUGUGAAAGCCCCCGGCUCAACCGGGGAGGGUCAUUGGAAACUGGGGAACUUGAGUGCAGAAGAGGAGAGUGGAAUUCCACGUGUAGCGGUGAAAUGCGUAGAGAUGUGGAGGAACACCAGUGGCGAAGGCGACUCUCUGGUCUGUAACUGACGCUGAGGAGCGAAAGCGUGGGGAGCGAACAGGAUUAGAUACCCUGGUAGUCCACGCCGUAAACGAUGAGUGCUAAGUGUUAGGGGGUUUCCGCCCCUUAGUGCUGCAGCUAACGCAUUAAGCACUCCGCCUGGGGAGUACGGUCGCAAGACUGAAACUCAAAGGAAUUGACGGGGGCC
This 899-nucleotide ribosomal RNA is filed under the name uncultured bacterium. RNAcentral describes it as "bacterial SSU rRNA". It matches the Rfam family "Bacterial small subunit ribosomal RNA", at positions 37 to 921 of the family's 1533-position model. The record is from RNAcentral.